GGCCAGACUCCUACGGGAGGCAGCAGUGAGGAAUAUUGGUCAAUGGCCGAGAGGCUGAACCAGCCAAGUCGCGUGAGGGAAGACGGCCCUACGGGUUGUAAACCUCUUUUGCCGGGGAGCAAGCCUGAGCACGUGUGCCCAGGCGGAGAGUACCCGGAGAAAAAGCAUCGGCUAACUCCGUGCCAGCAGCCGCGGUAAUACGGAGGAUGCGAGCGUUAUCCGGAUUUAUUGGGUUUAAAGGGUGCGCAGGCGGAGGUGCAAGUCAGUGGUCAAAUUGCGGGGCUCAACCCCGUACUGCCGUUGAAACUGCAUCCCUUGAGUGCGCGAGAAGUAUGCGGAAUGCGUGGUGUAGCGGUGAAGUGCAUAGAUAUCACGCAGAACUCCGAUUGCGAAGGCAGCAUACCGGCGCGCAACUGACGCUCAUGCACGAAAGCGUGGGUAUCGAACAGGAUUAGAUACCCCAGUAC
RNAcentral lists this ribosomal RNA (467 nucleotides) under uncultured bacterium. Its description in RNAcentral is "bacterial SSU rRNA". It matches the Rfam family "Bacterial small subunit ribosomal RNA", at positions 329 to 793 of the family's 1533-position model. The record is from RNAcentral.